Long non-coding RNA from Xenia sp. Carnegie-2017, 342 nucleotides. RefSeq lists it as uncharacterized. The record is from RefSeq and is a predicted model, not a curated record. The transcript has 4 exons. NCBI's taxonomy places the organism in Eukaryota, Metazoa, Cnidaria, Anthozoa, Malacalcyonacea, Xeniidae.
AAAUGGAGUUCGAACAGCAAAAUUAAUCUUUAGAUUACUUGGUCAUGCUUUUGGAGAAAAAGUCUUGUAGAGUUAGAGAAAGACGGAAAGAAUUUUAAAACAGAACUCAAAACAGUUGAAAAGGAGUUUGAUUAUCAGUGUAAAAAGAAGGGUAAAUUAUCUGGUGAUGAUUUCCUUCAAGAAACUGUGACAUUUUCCACAGCUGCACAAGCGUCGUUCAACGAACUUGAUGAUUCCUGGAAGGACAUGAAAACAAGAUAAGAGAAAUCUGUCCCGGCGUUUGGUGAACAACCGAAGACCAUUACCUCGGAAAACUUCUUUGGCAUUUUUUUACACAUUCUU